AUGGCCGACCCCCAUCGCCCCGUGGCCGCGACCGUGCCCCUGAACCCCGCUCCUGCCUGCCGCCGCCUAGGGUCGUGCCCUGCUCCCAUUACUCGCAAGCGCCAGCGCGCCUCCUCCCUGUUGCUGCCCGAUGCUUCUGCUAGUUGCUAUUCCUUCUGCCGCUGCCUGCUGCUGCUAUGCUCCGCUUGCUGUCGCCGCUCUGCUUGGUGCCGCUCUGCAUGGUGCGGUUUGCUGCUGCCGCGUGCUCUAACUGCUGCUGCCCGGGGCCGCGUAAUGGCUGCGCCCAGCCCGCGGGUGCAUGCGCGCAUGCGUCCCUGCUGA
RNAcentral lists this ribosomal RNA (321 nucleotides) under Triticum aestivum (bread wheat). RNAcentral's name for it is "partial small subunit ribosomal RNA". The record is from RNAcentral. Lineage: Eukaryota; Viridiplantae; Streptophyta; Magnoliopsida; Poales; Poaceae.